CGGGACACGUGGUAUCCUGUCUGAAUAUGGGGGGACCAUCCUCCAAGGCUAAAUACUCCUGACUGACCGAUAGUGAACCAGUACCGUGAGGGAAAGGCGAAAAGAACCCCGGCGAGGGGAGUGAAAAAGAACCUGAAACCGUGUACGUACAAGCAGUGGGAGCCUCUUAAUGGGGUGACUGCGUACCUUUUGUAUAAUGGGUCAGCGACUUAUAUUCUGUAGCAAGGUUAACCGAAUAGGGGAGCCGAAGGGAAACCGAGUCUUAACUGGGCGUUAAGUUGCAGGGUAUAGACCCGAAACCCGGUGAUCUAGCCAUGGGCAGGUUGAAGGUUGGGUAACACUAACUGGAGGACCGAACCGACUAAUGUUGAAAAAUUAGCGGAUGACUUGUGGCUGGGGGUGAAAGGCCAAUCAAACCGGGAGAUAGCUGGUUCUCCCCGAAAGCUAUUUAGGUAGCGCCUCGUGAAUUCAUCUCCGGGGGUAGAGCACUGUUUCGGCAAGGGGGUCAUCCCGACUUACCAACCCGAUGCAAACUGCGAAUACCGGAGAAUGUUAUCACGGGAGACACACGGCGGGUGCUAACGUCCGUCGUGAAGAGGGAAACAACCCAGACCGCCAGCUAAGGUCCCAAAGUCAUGGUUAAGUGGGAAACGAUGUGGGAAGGCCCAGACAGCCAGGAUGUUGGCUUAGAAGCAGCCAUCAUUUAAAGAAAGCGUAAUAGCUCACUGGUCGAGUCGGCCUGCGCGGAAGAUGUAACGGGGCUAAACCAUGCACCGAAGCUGCGGCAGCGACACUAUGUGUUGUUGGGUAGGGGAGCGUUCUGUAAGCCUGUGAAGGUGUGCUGUGAGGCAUGCUGGAGGUAUCAGAAGUGCGAAUGCUGACAUAAGUAACGAUAAAGCGGGUGAAAAGCCCGCUCGCCGGAAGACCAAGGGUUCCUGUCCAACGUUAAUCGGGGCAGGGUGAGUCGACCCCUAAGGCGAGGCCGAAAGGCGUAGUCGAUGGGAAACAGGUUAAUAUUCCUGUACUUGGUGUUACUGCGAAGGGGGGACGGAGAAGGCUAUGUUGGCCGGGCGACGGUUGUCCCGGUUUAAGCGUGUAGGCUGG
RNAcentral lists this ribosomal RNA (1104 nucleotides) under Escherichia coli. RNAcentral describes it as "partial 23S ribosomal RNA". It matches the Rfam family "Bacterial large subunit ribosomal RNA", at positions 418 to 1528 of the family's 2925-position model. The record is from RNAcentral. Lineage: Bacteria; Pseudomonadati; Pseudomonadota; Gammaproteobacteria; Enterobacterales; Enterobacteriaceae.